This 355-nucleotide long non-coding RNA is filed under the name Citrus maxima (pomelo). RNAcentral describes it as "long non-coding RNA (CMAX_LNC000752)". The record is from RNAcentral. Lineage: Eukaryota; Viridiplantae; Streptophyta; Magnoliopsida; Sapindales; Rutaceae.
ACACUUUAUGCCCUUAAUCGUGCAUUUCCAAAUUAAACACAUAUUUUAGUAAAUUUCGAAAUUUACCACGAUCUCCCAUGAAUCCGAGCUUGCAGCUUGUUAUGGAGCUUCAACAGAGUUGCUGCUACUUUUGUCUAGCUUCUGAAUUCCGCUUUCGUUUCCUUAGCUCAAGAUCACGGCUUCUCUCUCAGCAACUUACUGUGCACACACACGGGAGACAAACGGGAGAGAGAGAGAUGCACUGCACUCAUGCCACAGAUUUCUUGAACAGUUAACUUCCAAUGGGCUGAAGUUACUUAAAUACAGUGGUUGAGCGCAGGGACCCCUCAUGUGUUAGUACAAAAUUGCCCAUCCC